UACCUUUUGCACUGUCACUACAAUGUAUGAUAUAAAAAGAAUAAUUUCUUCCUUAGACUUGGAGACUUGUUUCUAACAUCACCAGAUGUGUAUGUCCCAGAGAUAAAGAACUGUCCAGUGAGCUCCAGAGCGCGGUACUUACCUCCCAUGCCUCUUCUGCAUCCAGGGAUGUUAUCCAUGGUAAAAAUAACAUUCCUUACAGAGGCCUUCUCUCCAAGCAUUACUAUAGCUUUUUCCCUCUACUCCACUGAACUGUCUGCAGUAUGGGACAUCACCCUACAAGUAGAGGACAACGUGCAAAGGCAGAUACACUUCUUUCUCUGAUAUACCAUUGUGCAUGGACUAAGCAGCAAAACUUCUCCCAGGUUGUAGUUAAAGAUCAUCCAUUUCUUGGACAACUAUUACUUCUUCAAGAACAAGGACAAGAGUGUGAGAUGGGUUAUGAUGCGACAAGACCUUCCUCAAGUUGUGUCCAUAACUGCUGAGUAUUAGACUUCAAUGUUGCAGCUAUGAGCUGUUUCAGAAGCUACAUAGCAAAAUGAGAUGAAACAAACACCUGUGCAAACUAGAACAGUAAUUGCAACAGCACACAGUUAUAUGAUAUGUACCUGGCACUGCACAUGAUAUGUACCUGGCACUGCACUGCAUGUAUGUCAGGCUUAAAAAUACUGACAUGAAGGGCCUAAUUAACAGUACUUAAUUGGCACCCGGUGUCUUUUGAAAUCAAGAAUUCACUGGACCUAACAUUUUUUUCUCAGAUCUCGUCUCCUCUGUAUUCCAAAUGUAUAUGAAAG
RNAcentral lists this long non-coding RNA (794 nucleotides) under Anser brachyrhynchus (Pink-footed goose). RNAcentral's name for it is "lncRNA (ENSABRG00000017789.1)". Lineage: Eukaryota; Metazoa; Chordata; Aves; Anseriformes; Anatidae. The record is from RNAcentral.